GAAGACCCCGCCAUGUUGCUUACUGUACCUGCUAACAUGAUGUCACAUCCUGGGAUGCCUGCAUUUCAUGGAUUCUCUACAUCAACCUACACAACUUCUGCUGCCACCGGUCACCCCCGACACAGGACGUAAUGAGUUGGUGGUGAUGAUGGUGGCUCCUGGCUGCGGAGGUGGCUGCUUGCUGGCAUCUGGCGUGAGCGAUCGGCGUGGCAGGCUUUGUUCGUUAUCGCAUCGGAUAUUGAAGCAGGUUCCAUUUUUGGACAGCUCUGCUGUUAAUGGACACGUCGGAAUAAUCCAGGACACCAAGGUUCCCCCCCCCUCAAAAAAAAAAAGACAAAAAAAAAGAAAAAAGUUCGUGGAGGCCGACAGAGGGCGAUACGUCGAGAGAACAGCCCCGCAGCUCAUCGCUGCGUGAACCACGCGGGGUCUUGCCCGGGAAAGACCCCCGCCUGAGCAGAUGAAGGUCGGGUGUCAUCGCACACGAUCGAUGAAAGCCAAGCAGCAACACUGAAAUGGUCUUCCUCCUAGGACUCGCGACACCGAAGAUCUUGCAAGAUCUCGUGAGACCUCACAAGACUUCACGACUAAAAUAGAAGACACACUGCAGAGACACCGAGCACCUUACUGUCGAUGGUCAUCCAGAACCUUUCUGUCCGAGAUGACACCCACAAAACCAUCCCCUAGACGAGACGCUAAGUCGCCUAUUGUCUACACAGAGAGCAUCAAGACGUGGUCUUGGUAUACAACAGAAGUUUUACAAGUCUGCGCAAACAUUUUGUCCAAGCCACUGGGGUUGAGAUUGGUACAAGAUAACAUUUUCCUCAAAACACCAACGAUUGAACAAUCCUCUAGAGAUGCAAACCUACAAACAUUACCACGCAUAACCUCACUCCUUAACGACCUUAAAAAAAUCAUGAGAUGGCAUUUACCUUUUUUUUUUAAUCUACAGAAAGGAAAGAACUGUGGGGGCGAAUCACAUACGUCUAUUAAGAAUAUUGUCUUAUACUGAAAUCUUUCAUUUCAAAGCAAUCUCUUCUCUGACAGACAUGGUAUAAGGCUGUUUAUGCGCAGUUAUUUUCACCUUUCUAGAAGUAAUAAGUAUUCCAGGAUGCCAUCUUCUGUGUAUAAAAUCUGUAUUUUACAUGAAAUUAAAAGUCCACGGGUUAUGAAUGAAAAUGAAAAAAAAAUCAUUGUUGGAGGGGAGGAGGGAGGGUAAUAUUGUUUUCCCAUAUAUUUGAGUUUUCUUGGGGGAACAUCUCUGCUAUACUUCACAGUGACUAAAUGAUUUUUAAUCUUCCUAUGGCCAAGAAUGUUAUUCGACCAGCAUAUAAGAUGUCUUAUCGGCACCACACACAAAAUGUGCAGUUGCUCCUCCUCCUCCUCUCUCUCUCUCUCUGCUGGUCUCAAUGUACUUACAGUUAAUUUUGUAUGAUUUCAGAAAUGUCUGAAAUUUUUAGCGCUCGAGUCCCCAUUGUACUUACUUCGUCUCGACGACGGUCCAUUAGCAAAUCUCUGAGGUAGAAUGAUUACAGUACAGAUAUGGAAACUACGAACUGGAAAUGGUGAGCAGACAACCAUGAUCGAGCGUUGAACACAACGGAAUUGAAAAAAAAAAA
Molecule: long non-coding RNA, 1616 nt
Filed under: Pomacea canaliculata
Lineage: Eukaryota; Metazoa; Mollusca; Gastropoda; Architaenioglossa; Ampullariidae
Description: uncharacterized LOC112557382
Source: RNAcentral